This 253-nucleotide ribosomal RNA is filed under the name uncultured bacterium. RNAcentral describes it as "partial 16S ribosomal RNA". It matches the Rfam family "Bacterial small subunit ribosomal RNA", at positions 524 to 776 of the family's 1533-position model. The record is from RNAcentral.
CACGUAGGGUGCAAGCGUUAAUCGGAAUUACUGGGCGUAAAGCGUGCGCAGGCGGUUGUGCAAGACCGAUGUGAAAUCCCCGGGCUUAACCUGGGAAUGGCAUUGGUGACUGCACGGCUAGAGUGUGUCAGAGGGGGGUAGAAUUCCACGUGUAGCAGUGAAAUGCGUAGAGAUGUGGAGGAAUACCGAUGGCGAAGGCAGCCCCCUGGGAUAACACUGACGCUCAUGCACGAAAGCGUGGGGAGCAAACAGG